UUAAGGUAAAGGUACCUUAGGGAUAUUUCUACGCCUUAAUAAGGGUGCAACAUGUAAUAAAAUCGUUUUACUUAACAAAACUUCCACCAUUCCCACCAUAAACCCUUAAUAUGUUCAUUUUUCAAUUAUUUUAUAAUGUAUACUUCACUGCAUACAUCUAUGUAUACGUAUAUGCAACCAACAACACGCUACAAACAAAAUUUAAUGAGCUGAGUCAAAAUCAUCUGCAAAUAGGAACGCAACCAUUUGAACCGCCCUCUGCUUUGCAGUUGUUUAAUAUUAAUACAAAUACGUCAAAAUUCAGGUUUUUUAAUUAAAGAUUACAAUUAAAAAAAAUCAUCCCCGAUAUCGAAAAUAGUCUUAUGACACAAUUGGACCUUUAGAUUAAAAGUUUUAAUAGCCGGAUAGUUAUACAAACAUAUAUUUAUUGUAUAUUAUGAGAGUUGAUUUUGCAGUAGUAAUAAGUAGAAGACAUCGGUAAUAUCCUUUAGUAGUUUUUCUAUAAUUUUAACGGAAAAGUGUAAUUUUAGACUUUAGGCAUAAGUAUUUUUAAUAAACUUUUAUUUGUUUUAAUAAUUGCGCAUGAUCCUCUUAUGUCUUCUUGUUAUUUGGAAUAGACCAAUGGGAUGCUAGAAUUUGCCAGACGCUAGACCUACACUUUUCCGUAUUAGUUUUCCGCGGAGCGUCGGUGUGAGUACCAAAACGUGUUCGUGCUUGUUUCGCGUGUAGUGUUAACGAAUAAACAUUAAUAAACAUUUUUAAAAACAUUAAUAAGUGUGUGUGGUGCAUCAAUUCAAAUCUACUUUUGAUAAGUAUCUCCCUGUAUAAAGCUGGGGACGAAUUUCUCUCAAAUUAAUAGGUACUAGAAAUAAUAAAAUAUUGCGUAAUAUUAACUUAAUAUAUAUGAUAAUGUUAUUUGCAGGACGAAUCUUGAGACGAAAUGCAAAACAAUUGUGUUAUAUGCAUUCAGUUAUUUUGCACAAACACUUGAACUGCAACAAGUGAAUGGGAGGGGAAAUCGCGUCUACACUUUCAAAUGUCUGUUCUUCUGUGUGCGGUUCUUUGUGAGCUUCUACCUGUUGGAAUGCCAGAAAAUGCUGAUAAGAUGGUCCGUAUUAGGCAGCCUGCGUGCG
Agrilus planipennis (emerald ash borer) is the source of this 1133-nucleotide long non-coding RNA. RefSeq lists it as uncharacterized. The transcript is spliced from 3 exons. The record is from RefSeq and is a predicted model, not a curated record. Lineage: Eukaryota; Metazoa; Arthropoda; Insecta; Coleoptera; Buprestidae.